Long non-coding RNA from Halichondria panicea, 676 nucleotides. RefSeq lists it as uncharacterized. The transcript has 2 exons. The record is from RefSeq and is a predicted model, not a curated record. Lineage: Eukaryota; Metazoa; Porifera; Demospongiae; Suberitida; Halichondriidae.
GCAACCAGUACUAUCUGUAUGUCAAUGCACUUAACAUUAUGGUACAAAACUUAAUGAGACAAACAACAUCCCAGAAAUACUGCCGCAGGUAGUGAGAAUCACAUGAACUGUACGAUAAGCAGGCCACCUGAUAAGGGGACACUACUGCUAUCGAUGAAUAGGUCAUUCUUUGCUAUCGAUGAAUAGCGAAAAGACCUCUAUUAAGGUUCGGUAGCUCCCCGAAAUACUAGUUCUUGCUUAGUCAGGCUAUACGUAAUUAGAGAAAGUAGCUAUUUUUGGAGAAAGUGACGUUAGCAAGUUAGCAAGAUCGUAGAUAGGUGCCUAGGAUUUGAGAGAGUAUAAAAAAAAAUCAGACUCUAUAAGCGGAAGAUACAAACUACGAUUGGACUCAUUAUUCUUGAGUUAAUUUCGACCCCAUUGAUUCAAAGUAAAAGACUUCAAUUACACAACAUGGAUAGCCCAGACCCAGUCACCACCUACGCUGGCCAUGACCAAAAUCCCUCCGAGCCAAAGCGUAAAUCUUCUCGGUGUAAUUGUACCAUUCUCUAAUUCAAGCUGCCUCAGAAGAAGGAACGCUUUUAUUAGCUGAUCUAGCUUAGAUACAUAUCAUAGUUCAAAUGCGAAUUGUGUUUGUCAAAAAUGUACUGUAAGCCAAAAGACUAUUAAUUUGACACAA